RNAcentral lists this signal recognition particle RNA (264 nucleotides) under Pan troglodytes (chimpanzee). It matches the Rfam family "Metazoan signal recognition particle RNA". From Rfam's summary of the family: The signal recognition particle (SRP) is a universally conserved ribonucleoprotein. The record is from RNAcentral. Lineage: Eukaryota; Metazoa; Chordata; Mammalia; Primates; Hominidae.
GCCUUAGUCCCAGGUACUCAGGAGGCUGAGGCUGGAGGAUUGCUUGAGCCCAGGAGUGCUGUGCUGAUGGGAUGUUUGCACUAAGUGCAGCAUCAAUGUGGUGACCUCCUGGGAACAGGAGACUCCCAGGUUGCCUAAGGAGGGGUGACCUGGCCCAGGUCAGAAACAGAGCAGGUCAAAACUCCCUUGCUGAUCAGUAGUGGGAUCGCACCUUUGAACAGCCACUGCACUCCAGCCUGAGCAACAUAGUGAGACCCUGCCUUU